AAAAUUUAUUACAAAUUAAAAAAAAAAAAAAAAAGUCGAAAGAAAAAGUUUAAAAUGUUUCUGUUUUAAAUAAGCAUUCUGUAGCUUUGCAUGCCAAUAAUUGACGUAUACCUAUUCUCGCAUGCUUGGCAGAUUUAUAUAGACUUCCUUGUUGAAUUUGCUCUGUGUAGUACCACACUACAUGUGUAUGUGAUGUGUUUUAUAAGUGUAAACCACACCUAUCCGUACAAUGGAAGUACCACACCUUACUCGUGCGAUAAGCCCAUCCAUUUUGCAUAAAUAACACUUUCUAACAGAAUAAUAAAAAAAAAAUUUAAUCGGGGAAAUUGUAAGUAAAUUUAAACACUCUCCUUUUAACAUUUUAAACUUCUUAACUAAAUCGUCCGAUUGAAUUAUAAUACGUCACAAAUGGCGCGGUGACGUUAUACACGCGCAACAGUUAUAGUUGUAUAAAAUAUAACUAUGUCAUUUAUGAGUCCAUAUGCAAAAGUGUGUCUAUGUUUGUGUGUGUAGUGUUCGACAGCAAUUUUUUUUCUGACAUUCUAAAAGUCGGAUUGGUAAAUGUAGAAAAGGAAUUAAUCGUGUUAAAGAAUUCCACUAGAAGACUAGUAAGAGAAAGACAUUAGCAGAAUAGCGGGCUAACGUGGACCAGUACCUUGUCAGGCCUGCAGGGACACAUGGUCUGCUUCAGGGUACAGCUCCACCACCUAUCAUUACGGGCACCAACAUCCGAAAACCAUAUAAUUUGUAUCCAUUAUUCGGCCAGCUUCACCUGGGAAUUUUACCCAGGCCUCAUUGGACGUUGUUUUGAGUGUUCCUUUUGGAUAUUUGUGUGCAGUUUCUCAUUCCCCGAUGCAAUACUUUCUUGAUGUAUUUUUUCUGUUUUUAUUUUUUUUUUAUAUAUACAAUUUUUCGAAACACCGAAUCAGACCAAAUUACUUGUUGUUGGAGCCGAUAUGUCGUUCGGUAGAAUAUUCACGCUUUAUCGAACACGUUCUCCACUCACGCAAGAAAAUUACACGGAGGCAGAUGUUUGGUAUAACUAUUCGAAAAAUAUUUGUUGUUGUCCCUUCUAGUUUUCACUCAACAGGCGGAUAACUUACCAAAGUUCUAGUAAAUGGUUUUAGCCUCUUCUUACGAAACUGUUUCCGUUUAUACUUCUUCUAGCAAUUUAUAAAAGAAACGUUAACCGGAUAAAAGAAUAGAGACGAUUUCAAAAUGUUUCGGAUAAGAUUAACUAAUAUGACAUUGCAAUGACAGAUUUAGUUGGCAGAUAGCAUCAGCCGGAGCUUUCACGCGUAGAUGCUAUCUGGCUGUUGAUGUAUCACGUGACAUAUGAAUGGUCUCAAUGUGUGCGACGCUUGUUGCUAAAGUGACAUUAGAAAGAUUUUAAGUAAUUAUUUCCUGCAACAGACAGACGAAUUUUCCCUUUCAUAAUCCAGAACUAAUUUAUGAUUAGUUUUAAUUGACUAAGAAUGUCGAGCGAUAAGACGAAGAACCGCUAGCAGAAAUCUUUAUCGAAACAUACUUUUCUAUAAAAAAAAAAAAAAUUGUUAAAGACGUGUUACCUGGAUUUUUAAUUACAUUUAUAUCGAGUGAUAAUAAUAGUAAUUUGAGAAAACGGUAGAUGACAGAAGAGAAUUCAUCCAUUAUUAAAAUUUUAUAAAAUACUUUCCUCGUCGUUUACUUAAAAAAAAAAUAAAAAUAAAAAUAAAAAACAGAGCAACUAG
Molecule: long non-coding RNA, 1730 nt
Filed under: Androctonus crassicauda
Lineage: Eukaryota; Metazoa; Arthropoda; Arachnida; Scorpiones; Buthidae
Source: RNAcentral